Molecule: ribosomal RNA, 764 nt
Filed under: uncultured bacterium
Lineage: Bacteria
Description: partial 16S ribosomal RNA
Rfam family: Bacterial small subunit ribosomal RNA
Source: RNAcentral
CGGUUUGGUAAGUCAGAUGUGAAAUCCCGGGGCUCAACCCCGGAACUGCAUCCGAUACUGCCAGACUAGAGGACUGGAGAGGUGACUGGAAUUCUCGGUGUAGCAGUGAAAUGCGUAGAGAUCGAGAGGAACACUCGUGGCGAAGGCGAGUCACUGGACAGUAUCUGACGCUGAGGCACGAAGGCCAGGGUAGCGAAAGGGAUUAGAUACCCCUGUAGUCCUGGCAGUAAACGGUGUGCGCUUGGUGUGAGGGGAUUCGACCCCCCUUGUGCCGGAGCCAACGCGUUAAGCGCACCGCCUGGGAAGUACGGCCGCAAGGCUAAAACUCAAAGAAAUUGACGGGGACCCGCACAAGCGGUGGAGUAUGUGGCUUAAUUCGAUGCAACGCGAAGAACCUUACCAAGGCUUGACAUGCAUCUCUAAUCGCGUGAAAGCGCGUGACCCUUCGGGGAAUUUGCACAGGUGCUGCAUGGCCGUCGUCAGCUCGUGUCGUGAGAUGUUGGGUUAAGUCCCGCAACGAGCGCAACCCUUGUCUCAUGUUGCCAGCGGGUAAUGCCGGGGACUCGUGAGAGACUGCCGGGGUCAACUCGGAGGAAGGUGGGAAUGACGUCAAGUCAUCAUGCCCCUUAUGUCCAGGGCUUCACACAUGCUACAAUGGCCGGUACAAAGGGCUGCGAAGCCGUGAGGUGGAGCGAAUCCUUUAAAGCCGGUCUCAGUUCGGAUCGGGGUCUGCAACUCGACCCCGUGAAGUUGGAGUCGCUAGU